Molecule: ribosomal RNA, 618 nt
Filed under: uncultured bacterium
Lineage: Bacteria
Description: bacterial SSU rRNA
Rfam family: Archaeal small subunit ribosomal RNA
Source: RNAcentral
GAUACCCGGGUAGUCAUAGCCGUAAACGAUACUCGCUAGGUGUCGGCCACGGUGCGACCGUUGUCGGUGCCGUAGGGAAGCCGUGAAGCGAGCCACCUGGGAAGUACGGCCGCAAGGCUGAAACUUAAAGGAAUUGGCGGGGGAGCACCACAACGGGUGGAGCUUGCGGUUUAAUUGGAUUCAACGCCGGAAAUCUUACCGGGACCGACAGCAAUAUGAAGGCCAGGCUGAAGACUUUGCCGGAUUAGCUGAGAGGUGGUGCAUGGCCGUCGUCAGUUCGUACUGUGAAGCAUCCUGUUAAGUCAGGCAACGAGCGAGACCCACGCCCACAGUUGCCAGCGUACUCUCCGGAGUGACGGGUACACUGUGGGGACCGCCGCUGCUAAAGCGGAGGAAGGAAUGGGCAACGGUAGGUCAGUAUGCCCCGAAUAUCCCGGGCUACACGCGAGCUACAAUGGUUGGUACAAUGGGUAUCUACCCCGAAAGGGGACGGGAAUCUCCUAAAACCAAUCUUAGUUCGGAUUGAGGGCUGCAACUCGCCCUCAUGAAGCUGGAAUCCGUAGUAAUCGCUUUCAACAGAACGCGGUGAAUACGUCCCUGCUCCUUGCACACACCGCC